Molecule: long non-coding RNA, 932 nt
Organism: Gopherus flavomarginatus (Mexican gopher tortoise)
Lineage: Eukaryota; Metazoa; Chordata; Testudines; Testudinidae
Exons: 2
Source: RefSeq, a predicted model, not a curated record
CAGUGCAAGGUUAAAGUGAAGGAGCUGCGGCGUGCCUGUUGCAAAGCCCGCAAGGGAAACUGCCGCUUCGACGCUGCCCCCACGACCUGCCGUUUUUACAAAAAGCUGGACGCGAUACUUGGGGGUGACCCCACCACCACUCCAAAGACCACGAUGGACACUUCGGGGGUGCGGGGAGGAGGAGAAGGAGGAGGAAACCGAGAGUGAGGGUACUGGGGUGGGGGGAGACACCCCGGAGUCCCUGGAGGCAUGCAGCCAGGAGCUCUUCUCAAGCCAGGAGGAAGGUAGCCAGUCGCAGUAGCCGGUACUUGGUGGAGGACAAACAGAGGAGCGGGUUCCCGAAGCAACCUUGAGAUCUCGGCUGCCUGUGCUAUCAACAGCUCAAAGACUACAAAACCUCCGGAAGAAGCAGCGAAGAAGCAAAGAAGAUCUGCUAUAGCAGUUGUGGAGCACUCUCUCACAGAGAGAAGGAGGGAAAGGGAAAGCAGGAUCCGCCAGAAAAAUGCUGCGGACAGGAAGAAAAGCACAAAGCAGCUGAUAAGCAUCCUGGCGCGCCAAGCGAACUCUAUCCAGGCGCUUGUAGCCAUACAGGCAGAGCACUACCGCACCCGUUCCUGCCCCGUCCCAAAGCUCUUUCCUUUGUGCCCCAAUGUCAGCUCAAAACCCCCUUCCCCAGCAUCCAGGUUCUUACCAGUACCAGCUGCCUCCAACACCUGUAAGUUCACCGACCAGCCCUGAGAACUACAACCAUUACCCUCUGCACUCAACCCCCAUCACCAUGCAGUAUAGCCAUCCUGAAGUGCAGCAGUCGUUACACAGCACUCCAGACAGGACAUAUUCAAACCUUUGACUGUACAGUUCCCCACCCCACCCCCCUGUUCCCAAAAAGUUGUGUGUCUAUCAGUAAAGUUAUUUUAUUUUCAAUAAAUGAA